RNAcentral lists this ribosomal RNA (264 nucleotides) under uncultured bacterium. Its description in RNAcentral is "partial 16S ribosomal RNA". It matches the Rfam family "Bacterial small subunit ribosomal RNA", at positions 524 to 783 of the family's 1533-position model. The record is from RNAcentral.
UACGGAGGGUGCGAGCGUUAAUCGGAAUACUGGGCGUAAAGCGUACGCAGGCGGUUAGUUAAGUCAGAUGUGAAAGCCCCGGGCUCAACCUGGGAACUGCAUUUGAAACUGGCUAACUAGAGUGCGGCAGAGGGUGGUAGAAUUUCAGGUGUAGCGGUGAAAUGCGUAGAGAUCUGAAGGAAUACCGAUGGCGAAGGCAGCCACCUGGGCCGACACUGACGCUCAUGUACGAAAAGCGAUGGGGUAGCAAACGAGGAAUUAGAU